UUUGUCAGAUGGGCCAGAGAGCCUGAACCUCUGUAUUUUUGUCAGAUUGCCCAAAGUUUGAGAACCACUACUCUGGAACAUACUUACUUCACAUCUGGCAGAGGAAGUUCAAAAUAAAUAAGGUAAUCUAAAAAUGCAGAGCUUGGAGGAAAGGAACUCCACAAGGCAUAAAGAUUCAUCUCAGGAAUUCUGAAGUUUGGUGGAAACAAAAGGCCUGAAUGUGGAGAAUUAGGAAAUUCCCUUAGAAGGAGAGAGAAACAUCUCAGAGUCCCUUGAGAUGUUGGGAAAGGCGUGUUUUCUAGGAAGGGAAUGUUAGGAUACAAAGUGCAAAAAAAUGUUUGGUGUUCCUAGAACAGAAGCUUGUCCUGGCAGAGCACAAGACUGGAGUCAGAGAAUCCAAUUCUAUGGGCCUAGUGAUGCCCCGUGCUGAAGGUAAUGAGAGCUUGUCAUGGAGUUGCGGCUACUGUGACGGAGACAAGUAAAGGGCCUGGAAAUAUAAUAAGAGCAAAAAUAAAUACAUUUGAUUGUUUUCAGAAUUGAUUUCUUCUCCAAAAAUGACCUAGAGUUUCAAUAACCAACUACUUUGUAGAUACUAGUGAACCAAAAUUGUGCACAUUAUCGUCUCCCUCUAUAGUACACUCAGGAGUUUUGGAGCUGGAAAAAAAACCUUUGUUUUUUUCAAAAGAAAAAACAGAUUCACAAGUCUCUGAGCUGGGAAAACAAAGAAAGAAAACAAACAAAACCUUCACACCUUUUGUCCAGAGGAUCUGAUUUGUUCCUAAAGAUACUCAUACUGUAAAUUUAGCUUAGAAAUGUUUGCAGAUCCAGCUUCUUAAAACCCAGUAGCUAGGGCAGUGGUGUGAUUGUCCAGCUACGAAUGGAGAUUCGAGAUCACCUUCCCUUAUUUCACUAGUCUUCCCUGCCCUUGGCUCACAAGCCCUUACCAGUUCUGUUCUUCAAAUCUUGACCACUGGCAAUAAUGUCCCAUUGUAUAUUUACAAUUUACAGAGCAUUUUAAUUCACAUCAUCACAUUUAUUUUUCAAACAAUCAUCCAUGUUGAACAAGAUAGACUUCAUAUACUUCCAAUGACUUUCUGAAGCCACAUAGAUCAUAAAAUGUUAAGUGAGGAUCUGAUCCCAUUGUUUUGAUUCAGUGCUUUAUUCUUUCCCUCCAUUCACCAGAUUUUUUCAUGUCCUUUGAGGUAGAUGUCUAAUAAAUGUUGGAAUCGUAAUAUUUUUCAUCUGGAAGGGGACUUUAACGGACUUGUGUUCUCUCCUAUGUACUUCAGAGCUAGAGAAGUAGUCACCCUGAGAAUUGUGGUGGUUGAACCAAAGUCAGAAAACAAGUAGCAGAUCCACGACUGAUUCCCUGAUUAUUCUUUGAAACUACAUCCCCUUCUGUUCUCAUAUCCUAAUAGUUAGGCUCUAUGGCAAUUCCCUUUACUGCUGCUGACCACCUUUCCCAGAGCGGCCCAGCUUGGAGCUUUUGCCUUGGACCACUGGUGGCGAUGGAUAUUUUCUCCUUGGAUUUCUUUCUUCCCAUCCCCCUGAAAUAACAGGAGCAGAGGCAGCAUAGGUCAUUUGUCAGCUCUCUUGUGAUGGUAAUUUCUGUCUCACAUAUUUUCA
Nomascus leucogenys (northern white-cheeked gibbon) is the source of this 1626-nucleotide long non-coding RNA. RefSeq lists it as uncharacterized. The record is from RefSeq and is a predicted model, not a curated record. The transcript is spliced from 3 exons. NCBI's taxonomy places the organism in Eukaryota, Metazoa, Chordata, Mammalia, Primates, Hylobatidae.